RNAcentral lists this long non-coding RNA (230 nucleotides) under Ananas comosus (pineapple). RNAcentral describes it as "long non-coding RNA (ACOM_LNC019267)". The record is from RNAcentral. Lineage: Eukaryota; Viridiplantae; Streptophyta; Magnoliopsida; Poales; Bromeliaceae.
UAAUUUUAGAGAGAGAGAGAGAGUACAGUUUGCGUGCUUUUACACGCAGCUGGCGUUCGUGCUCACAAGUUAUCGAUCUUCAAAUCAACGACUAGUUUCGUUAAAUUUGAUCUAAAAUAUUUGACAAAUUUAAAAAUAAUUUUUUUAAAUUUUCGAUGGUUGAAAAUAUAAAAUCUCACAAAAUAGUGAUGAUACAAUGCUGAAAUUUUACAUAACAAAUAUUUAUCCUG